UCUGAACUCACUCACAAGAACACCACUGCUUCAACUUCAAACCCCGAAAUCGAAUCAAACUUUCCCACCAUCACUCACUCCGAAACACACCUCAACCACUUCACAGCACCACCCAUUCAAGGUUUCCUACCUCGUAAGCACUUGUGGCUUCUCCGUAGAAACCGCUCUCAAGAUCUCCAAGUUCACCCAAUUCAAAACCCCCGAAAAACCCGAUUCAAUCAUCGCCUUAUUCAGAAGCCACAGUUUCUCCAACACCCAGAUAAUCAGCAUUAUUAGAAGAGCACCCAAUGUUCUCACAUGCGACCCCCACAAAAGGAUUUUCCCAAAGUUUGAAUUUUUACGCUCCAAAGGGGCCUCAGGCUCCGACAUUGUGGAACUGGUGACUAAGAGCCCCACAAUCCUGUAUGCGAACCUCGAGAAUAAUAUUGUUCCUUCCUAUGAGUUGGUGCGGAGGUUCCUUGAAUCCGAUAAGAAAACGAUGGAUUGCAUUCGUGGUUGCGGAUAUUUCUUUGGUUCCGGUCGUGCGUCGCGGAAUGUGAUGUUGUUGAUUGAUGAGGGAGCCACGGACUCCGUCAUCGCCUUUUUGUUACAGAAAAGGUUUUCUGUGAUCUUGUGUUCUGGUUUUAAGGAGACUUUGGAUGAAAUUAAGGAAAUGGGGUUUGAGCCUUUCAAGAAGAAGUUCGGGCUGGCGCUGCUUGCGAAAAAGAUUGUUCCGAAAUCGCACUGGGAAGCUAAAGUUGAUGUCUUUAAGAGCUGGGGUUGGUCUGAAGAAUUGGUUAUUGGUAUGUUCAAGAGGCAGCCCCUCUUUAUGUUAGCGUCCCAAGAUAAGAUUGAUCGGGUAAUGAGAUUUUGGGUUAAGCAGUUAGGUUGGGAUUCUUUGGCCCUUGCCAAAAAGCCAGAGAUUUUUGGAUUUAGUUUGGAGAGAAGGAUCAUUCCAAGGGCUCUUGUUGUCCAGUAUUUAGUCGCUAAAGGCUUGAGGAAAAAGAGUGCCAGCAUGAUUGUCCCAUUUGCUGUUUCUGAUAAGGAGUUUCUUGAAAAGUAUGUGAUGCGAUUUAAGGAGGAAGAAGCGGAACUAUUAAAGCUGUACCAGGGAAAAAUGAGUGGUCAUGGAAAUAAGGAGGAUGGUGCAGCUCCUUUAACCGUAGUGUAAUUUAAAAAAUAUCUAGGUCCAUAUUUAAUUUAUUCCAUGUUAGUGGAAAUAAUGUCAAGUGAAGGCUAAGUUUGAGUGAUUGAUAUGUUUUUCAGACGUUUAGCUGGGAAAUAUAUCAUAUAACAGCUUUCGGAUACAGCAUUAUAGGCUAGAGCUUUUUACUUUUGUUGUUUGUAUGGUCAUGGUCACUUGAGAUGGAUAAUUGUGGCUGAGAGGAUACUAAGGAUUUCCUGCUUCAGUUUUGCAGUUCCUUUAUAUAAGGUUUGAUCUAGAAAAUGGUGCUUUGAAGUAAGCUUCUGACCUUUGGGGGAGAAGCUUCAAUUAUGAUUCAAUUGAAGUUAUGCCCUUAUUUGCAGCAUAGUGGUCAACUGGUCAUGUCAAUAUGUUAGGGUAGAUGUAAGACAAGUUCUUUGGUUGGAGAAACUUGAAAAUAUGUGAAUGUCCAAAUGUUGCAAUAUGAUGAAAUCAUAUCAAGCUGCAAGAACUUGUUAAUAUUUAACUUUAUGUGAUUAGUUUUUUUCUUUCUUCAUGGAUUGUAUUGGUUUAGUUUAUUUAUAAAAUAUAAGCUUUUAGAUGUAGGUGGCUGUAAACUGAAUUGUAUUCAGGUUGAAAAAUAUUCCCAAGUUAGGUUUUAUUCUAGCUUGCUUUUCAGAAUUCUGUAAUGUAUUUAAAUAGUUGAAACUGGUAAUGCAUUCUUUCGUUUACUGCAGAAGUGCUGGCUUGGGGUGAGCCUAGUUGCAAUGCCAAUGCCAAGGUUCUGCUUCAUGACUUGGUGUUCAAAUGUUCAAGUCAUUGAAACCAUGGUUGUUAAACUCAUGAUUCUACGUAGAAUUGUGGAGGCUCUGUAAACUCGACUCGUAGAAUCGAAUCGUAAACUCAUAAGAGUUUACUCAAAUAAAAAAAUAUUAAUAUUCCUUUCAAAUUUGUAUCAUAUUUUUAUUUUCUCUUAUUCUUUCUUUAAUGUUCUUUUGGGGAAAGGUGGGUUGGUUAAAAAUUCAUGCAGAAUUGUUGAAAAUUAGAAUCAAGUUAUUGAUUUGAUGCACUUCAAUUUCUUAAGAACUUUACAUCUCAAGAUUUGUGAAGUUUGUUGAGACAAAAGUUGUUGCUUAUGGCAGGUUGUUCCAAGAAUUAACACCUUUAUCGACACACAUGUCUCUCCAACAACCAAAUCAAGAGGUGUUAUUGCAAGAACCAGAAGCCACAUUUUCUCAACUAAGCAAACAAAACUUAAUACUCUCACUCACCCUUGAUGAGUUCUAUUGCAAGAAUUGAAAGAGCUUACGAUCUAUGAACAUGGAUGAAUUCCUUUCUAGCAUUUGGAACUCUGAUGAUAACAACUAAGUUAACCCACCACUAUCCACCCUUGAUGAAGCUGCAAAGGGUAAAAGUGUACUAGCAACAAAACCCAUUGCUCAAAAGGCAGCAACAAAACUCACUACCCACCCUUGAUGAAGCCAGAAUUUCAAUUAACAAAUAAUUUGACCAUGUUCGGGGGACUACCUUAGCGUUGCCAAAAUUCAACACUAAGCAUUGUUUCAAACUUUAAAUUAACAGAGAUUUUAAUUAACAAAUACUCCUUUAAUUUAGCAACAAAACCCAAAACUCAACAUUACAAUGAAGCUAAUAAUAGCAUUGCCAGAAUUUCAAUUAACAAAUACUCCCUUAAUAAGCAUCGUUUCAAACUUUCAAUUGAUAGAAAUGAAUUAACAAAGAAGCUUUGAGAAAGAAAACACCUUAGCAUCAUGGAGCAAAGCUUGGAGCUAGGUCAUGAAAUGAAGGCUUUCGAUGAGUGAGGGCUUUCAAGUUUCAAACGAUGACGAGGACCACCACGACGCGAGUAGCUCAGCAGUCCAGCACGGCAACGAUGACGAUGACCACAACGAUGCAAGUAACUCAGCGGGAGUCAUUUUCGGGGGUGAGUAGCUUGAACAAGGCAGAGUGAGUGAGUAGACAGAGUUGCGAGAGUCAUUUUCGAGAGUUGUUGUACGACGCCGUUUCGGGUUUUCAUAAACUCGUGGACUCAGAGCAGACUCGUGAGUUUGCACAAAAUUGGACGAGUUUAACAACCAUGAUUGAAACUGCCCCUUUGAUCGGGUUCAUGUAUUUGACUCUCUCCAAACUCCCACAAUAGUGAGAGCCUUCUGCAAUGGGCCAUUCUUUACAAUAGAGGUUCAAGCAUUACAGUAGGAACCAACCAGGGAUAGCUAGUGGGAAAUUGAACCCUCAAUGCAUCAUACUCUUGUCUUAGAAAUUGAGAGAUGAGACUGAUAGGAAUUAGGAUUGUGGUUCUAGUGCAGAUGCAGAAAAGGGUGUGAAGGACCAUAAAAUGGAUCAACACAAAAAAGAAGAUUUAAGGUUUAUUCUAGAAAGAAUAAAAGAGAACUUGGAUUUAAUUAACUGAGGUGGCCGGUGGUUAGCAUUUUAGGCAAAUACUUCGCUUGAUGCAACAGUAUAUAGGAUGCAUGGCAGACUGGGAGAGGAUAUUUUAUCUGAAGAGAUAGGGUCUAUUCUUGGUUACCAUUAAAGACCAUGCUAGUUGAGUUACUAGCUUUGUUGGCUAUUUAGUGCAUUUAUUAGCAUAUCUAUGCUUUUACUAGUAUUAGAAUGGCUAUGCUUUUACUAGUACUAGUGUUGGUUGUUCAUGCGUUUACGAGGUCCCCCCACUUGAUGUAGUCGUCCGAGGAUAAAAUUAAUAAGGUGAUGAGAUUUUGGGUUGAUCAGUUAAGUUGGGACUCUUUGGCCCUUACUAAGAGGCCAAUGUUUUUUGGAUAUAGUUUGAAGAAAAGGAUCGUUCCAAGGACUUUUGUUGUCUAGUAUUUACUUACAAAAGGCUUCCAGAAAAAGAGUGCCACCUUGCUUAGCCAGUUUUGUAUUCCUGAAGAGGCGUUUCUUGAAAAGUAUGUGAAAUGUUUUAAGGAGGAAGAAGCAGAACUAUUAAAGCUGUACCGGGAAAAAUGAGUAAUCCAUGUUUUAAAUACCUUUCUGUUUCUGUCACAGUCAUCCUUUUAUUUGAAUAAAAUCACUCUAAGCCAGAUUCUAUUCUUGGUCCUAUUAGAGAUCAAUGUCAGUUGAGCUACAAAAGCUUAUUGGCAAGUUAGUCCAUGUACUAGUCAGUAUGCUACUUCAGUUUUGGAACUGAAAUCACAGGUUUUGGUUCUUGAAAGUGUAUUGUUCAUAAACAUCUUAAAAUUGCACGAAAGCGUGCACGAGCUUGUACCUGGAUGCUGUAAUCGAACAAGAUGUAAAUAAGUUGAAUUGAAUCUUUGUACACUAUAAGAUAAGGAGGUCUGAUAUGCUAAUUCGAGCUAAUGAAGCAGAGUUUCAACGUGUUGUUGGGUAAGUGGCUUGGAAAAGUAAACAACAUAUGCAAAGGUUGAGCAUAACCCGAAUGGAAGGAUUUUAUUGUAUCAGGUUCUGGUGGCAAAGAGCUUUGUAGGAGGUUACACAAUCUUUUUAUGCAGCUAAUGCAAAUGGAAGGAAUCUCUGUAGGGGGCUGCUAAUGUUUAUAACAGUCUGGUACUGGUGACACAAAAACAUAUCCUGGGUUGGAAAGGUUGUUGAUCAGUUGAUGUAUUUUUAUAAUUUAUUUUAUUACCUAUCUACAUUUUAUCUGGUUUUGUAAUUUGUCCACUUCUCGUGACAAAAUACAGCUAUAUAUAUAUAUGCAGAGUUAUCUUUUCAUAUCCAUUUUUUGAAUAGCAAAAAAAAAAAGAUAGAAAAGUCGAAUUGAACAAUUUUUUUUCAUUUUGUAUUUAUUUAACAAUUUAUCAAAAUUCCUCAAAAUAUACAAAUCCAAAUCUAGCAAAAUGUAAAAAGUUCAAGCAAAAUAGAAUAGAUAUAAUGUCAAAUUAUUUCAUUAAAAUAUAUCAAAACUUAAAUUUCAAAUCCAAAUUAAUUAUUGGUUUUACAUAAAUAUUCAAAUCCAAUGUCCAAACAAUAAAUUUAAAAAGAAAUAAGGUGUAAUAUCAAUAAAUUUUUUAUAUACAAUAUAUUACCAGUAAUCUUUUCUAAAUAGAAGAUGAUUUAAAAAUUCAUAAAUUCUUUUAAUUUAAAUAUAAUGACUUAAAUUGUAAAAAUUAAACCUAUAUUUGUGUAUAUAUUAAAUUCGUUUUAUUUCUUAUCCUAUUUACCAAAUCAUUUUAAUCCAAAUAUUUCAUUUAUUUUUUAUUUUUUUCUCUUCAAUAAUAACCUUAUUUUUCUAUUUUUUUUUACUUUCUUUCAUCAAUCAUUAUGCACAUUUUUAUUCUUUUUUAUAUCUCUACCAAACAAAAUCUUAGCAUAAGAGAGAAAAAUAAGAAAAAUAAAUUGUAGAAGAGAAAAAAAAAAAAGUUGACAAUAAUUUAAAAAAUUGUUAACACCCAAAAUUGUCAUUACACCAAGGGAGACCUACCCUCCUUUCCGUCCAAACCCUAAAACACAUCCCCUUUCAUGGUCACUUCGGGUUAAUAUCCCACUCCCAUCAGCAAGGCAAGCUUCGAUGCUCCCUUCACCAAGUUGCCUUAAUACUCUGAAAUCAUAGAACACUUCCUUAAACACCUUUCAGAUGAUGUUUCCUUCCCCACGCUUCAAACCCUUUCUCUAUCUGAACUCACUCACAAGAACACCACUGCUUCAACUUCAAACCCCGAAAUCGAAUCAAACUUUCCCACCAUCACUCACUCCGAAACACACCUCAACCACUUCACAGCACCACCCAUUCAAGGUUUCCUACCUCGUAAGCACUUGUGGCUUCUCCGUAGAAACCGCUCUCAAGAUCUCCAAGUUCACCCAAUUCAAAACCCCCGAAAAACCCGAUUCAAUCAUCGCCUUA
RNAcentral lists this long non-coding RNA (5960 nucleotides) under Glycine max (soybean). RNAcentral describes it as "long non-coding RNA (GMAX_LNC003426)". The record is from RNAcentral. Lineage: Eukaryota; Viridiplantae; Streptophyta; Magnoliopsida; Fabales; Fabaceae.